GAGGGGCGGACGACUACUUUUGUCUUUCUUUCUUUAGACUAAAAAAGUUAUUUUCGAGACAGGAGGCGGCAGGAGAGAGGAAGAGACGAGCGAUGGCGGCCUGGUCACAUCGCUCGGACCUCCCCAGCUGCCUCCGCCUCCAGCUCCGCAGCAUUCGAAGAUCUCAAUAGCUGCAUUUCCAGCUCCGAGAGGCGAAGAGAUGCAAGCGCCGUGCAGCACCCUUUAUAGUGCCACGAAAAGGAAGUGGCGUAGCUGGAGCGUGAUGGCCGACUCCAGCCAAUCCGAAUAUCGCACCAUUGUGACGCAAGCCGGUUCGGAGCCGAAAGGGGCGGGAAAAGAGUUCAGGAGGCGGGUCCAGAGAUAGGGAAGAGAGGGAGGAGCUGACGUAAUCCGCUUGUAAACAAAUAAACCCGGAGUGGCGGCUGGAGACCCAGUUGCUUGUGUCGAGGGAGGGAGGGAGGGAACAGAGGGUGCGCGUGUGAAAGCUCCGCCCCCAGCCCUAGCUCCUCCUUCCCGCUUCAGCAGGUCCAGGCUCUGCGCCAGUGCAUCCUUCUCCAAGAGUGCGCUGCCUGGGCCCGCUUGCCCUGGAGUGUAAGUGCUGGGUAAAUAAGAACCGCCUGGCGCAGGCUGUGUCUACUCUUCACGCCGCCUUCUCAGAUCGGGCUGCAUGUCCCCACUCCGUGUUUACAUCUCGUUCCCGCUCCGGGUCUCGUAACUUCAGCAGUCAACGGAGAGAAGAGUGGAAACCUUACUGGAUGCGGACAGGAGAGCCAGUUACUGAAAGCAGAUAUAACGCGGAUCCUGUAAAGAGUGGUGUGUAUCCAAAAAAAAAAAAUCUGUACAAUGUAUUUUAAAACUUGUGUGCACAAAACUGAAGAUUUUCUUUUUUACCUAGUCCAAAUGCCGUCCUAGCCUGAGUCCUGCUCUUUAUAAAAAUAAAAUAAAAAGAAUUUGAAGCUUGUGAAAGUAUUAAGUGUAGACAUUCAAGUUUAUUUGAAACCCUACCAAAAAAAAAAAAAAACAACCUUAAAAACCAGUGUAACAGGAAGGCGGGAGCCUGCUAAAACGAUUAGGCCUAAGACAGGGUUAACCCCAACUCCAUUAAGGAGAAGGGGGAAAAGAAAAA
This 1126-nucleotide long non-coding RNA is filed under the name Homo sapiens (human). RNAcentral's name for it is "non-protein coding lnc-C12orf74-3:25". Lineage: Eukaryota; Metazoa; Chordata; Mammalia; Primates; Hominidae. The record is from RNAcentral.